GGGAUUUUCCAGGUGCGCUGUCGCUCCCCACUCAUCUCGCUGAAAUUUAUCCGCAUCUCCAGAAUCGCUGCCCCCUUUUUUCUCGGGAUAAUGUUCGUGACCUCUGGAGCUCUUUGUGUCGUUGCUGAGAAAACCCCCCAGAGGAAUAUGAUACAAGCUUGUCUCUGGGUUGGCCUCUCUGCGCUGGUCCUCUCCCUGGUGGCGGCUGUUCUUUAUUCUGUCGCCUUAAACGAUAUAAGAUCUAAGGCAGAAGAAACUUUUGUGAUAUUUGAAAUGGUCAGAUCCCUCAAUGUGAGAGUCCUGCAUUUACACUAGACUGGAAUUAUCACUAGACUGGGCUGGAAUUACAUUGUAACUGCAGUUUAAUAUCACUGGACUGGACUGGAAUUA
Long non-coding RNA from Polyodon spathula (Mississippi paddlefish), 390 nucleotides. RefSeq lists it as uncharacterized. The record is from RefSeq and is a predicted model, not a curated record. The transcript is spliced from 3 exons. NCBI's taxonomy places the organism in Eukaryota, Metazoa, Chordata, Actinopteri, Acipenseriformes, Polyodontidae.